RNAcentral lists this ribosomal RNA (368 nucleotides) under uncultured organism. RNAcentral describes it as "bacterial SSU rRNA". It matches the Rfam family "Bacterial small subunit ribosomal RNA", at positions 526 to 896 of the family's 1533-position model. The record is from RNAcentral.
CGUAGGUGGCAAGCGUUGUCCGGAUUUAUUGGGUUUAAAGGGUGCGUAGGCGGUCUUUUAAGUCAGUGGUGAAAUACUUCAGCUUAACUGGAGAGGUGCCAUUGAUACUGGGAGACUUGAGUACUGAUGAGGUAGGCGGAAUGGACGGUGUAGCGGUGAAAUGCUUAGAUAUCGUCCAGAACACCGAUAGCGAAGGCAGCUUACUAAGGAGUAACUGACGCUGAGGCACGAAAGUGUGGGGAUCAAACAGGAUUAGAUACCCUGGUAGUCCACACUGUAAACGAUGAUCACUCGAUGUUGGCGAUACACAGCCAGCGUCUUAGCAAAAGCGAUAAGUGAUCCACCUGGGGAGUACGCCGGCAACGGUG